CAUUUGUGACUGGAGUUUAGUAACACCAGUUGAAAAAUGGCAGAAGAUUCGGAUGAAGAAGAAAAUCAUCAGGAUAUGGCAGAUCCUGCAGGACCUCGAAUAGUUACAAUUCGUAGAAGUGAUACUGGGUUUGGUUUUAACGUUCGAGGUCAAGUUAGUGAGGGAGGUCAAUUAAAGAGCAUAAAUGGAGAACUAUAUGCCCCUUUGCAGCAUGUUAGCGCUGUUAUGGAGGGCGGAGCUGCUGAUCGGGCUGGUAUCAUGAAAGGAGAUAGAAUAUUAGAAGUAUAUAAUACGGAAGGAUAUGUCUUUAGGCUGAAUAAAAAAAAUUAUUUUUAGAUAGUUUCAUCCACUAAUGAGCAACAUAUAGACUCUAAUAUAGAUUUAAGGUUAUACCAUACAAUUUAUUAUAGCCAAUACGAAAAUUGUUUACAUUUCAGCCUGGUUUUACAUUUGUUGCACUUGUCGAAGUAAUCCUUUGAAGAGAAAUAUUUAUGUUCAUUGAAAGGAUCCAGUAAUAACUUUAAGGAAAUCAAUAAUACAUCUCUUACGGUUUUUUUUUUCCACCUUAAAUAGUUAUUACUGGCAUAAAAUGUACUACAAAAAAGACCAUUGAUACAAAAUAACCCUAUUAUAGUAGUUAAUUACUUAAACAUUAUAACAACCGUAACUCAAUAAACAGUAACGAUUAAUAAUAUUUUUAAACAAUAUUGUAAUAUCACAUCGUAUCUUAUAAAUAUAUGCAAA
Molecule: unclassified non-coding RNA, 744 nt
Filed under: Dimorphilus gyrociliatus
Lineage: Eukaryota; Metazoa; Annelida; Polychaeta; Dinophilidae
Description: pDZ domain-containing protein
Source: RNAcentral